Molecule: ribosomal RNA, 264 nt
Filed under: uncultured archaeon
Lineage: Archaea
Description: partial 16S ribosomal RNA
Rfam family: Archaeal small subunit ribosomal RNA
Source: RNAcentral
AGUCACUGACAUUAGAUACCCGCGUAGUCCCAGCCGUAAACUAUGCGCGUUAGGUGUAUCGGUGACCACGAGUCACCGAGGUGCCGAAGGGAAACCGUGAAACGUGCCGCCUGGGAAGUACGGUCGCAAGGCUGAAACUUAAAGGAAUUGGCGGGGAGCACCACAAGAGGUGGAGGCUGCGGUUCAAUUGGACUCAACGCCGGAAAACUCAUCGGGAGCGACAGCAGUAUGAUUGCCAGGUUGAUGACCUUGCUUGACAAGCUG